RNAcentral lists this unclassified non-coding RNA (379 nucleotides) under uncultured bacterium. Its description in RNAcentral is "contains 16S-23S intergenic spacer region". The record is from RNAcentral.
UCCGGUUUGUCACCGGCGGUCCCCUUAGAGUUCCCAACUGAAUGCUGGCAACUAAGGGCAAGGGUUGCGCUCGUUGCGGGACUUAACCCAACAUCUCACGACACGAGCUGACGACAGCCGUGCAGCACCUGUGCGCGCUCCCUCGCGGGUCCCUCACCUUUCGGCUCGGUACCACGCUCAUGUCAAGCCUGGGUAAGGUUCUUCGCGUUGCAUCGAAUUAAUCCGCAUGCUCCGCCGCUUGUGCGGGCCCCCGUCAAUUCCUUUGAGUUUUAGCCCUGCGGCCGUACUCCCCAGGCGGGGCACUUAAUGCGUUAGCUACGGCGCGGAAAACGUGGAAUGUCCCCCACACCUAGUGCCCAACGUUUACGGCAUGGACUAC